GUCAUUUCAAGAAGGCAGUUCUCCAUGAAGUAUGCUCUGCACUUUGUCUUGGAUGCGCCAUUUGACUUCACAGCUGACAAAGGCGUUCACUAAAGGGGCACUGGAGAGUGUGAAUGAGACCCCGAGCAGUGAGG
This is a long non-coding RNA of Polypterus senegalus (gray bichir), 134 nucleotides long. RefSeq lists it as uncharacterized. The record is from RefSeq and is a predicted model, not a curated record. The transcript is spliced from 3 exons. Lineage: Eukaryota; Metazoa; Chordata; Cladistia; Polypteriformes; Polypteridae.